This 493-nucleotide ribosomal RNA is filed under the name uncultured bacterium. RNAcentral describes it as "bacterial SSU rRNA". It matches the Rfam family "Bacterial small subunit ribosomal RNA", at positions 31 to 518 of the family's 1533-position model. The record is from RNAcentral.
GAACGCUGCGGCAGGCCUAACACAUGCAAGUCGAGCGGUAGCACAGAGAGCUGCUCUCGGGUGACGAGCGGCGGACGGGUGAGUAAUGUCUGGGAAACUGCCUGAUGAGGGGGAUAACUACUGGAAACGGUAGCUAAUACCGCAUAACGUCGCAAGACCAAAGUGGGGGACCUUCGGGCCUCAUGCCAUCAGAUGUGCCCAGAUGGGAUUAGCUAGUAGGUGGGGUAAUGGCUCACCUAGGCGACGAUCCCUAGCUGGUCUGAGAGGAUGACCAGCCACACUGGAACUGAGACACGGUCCAGACUCCUACGGGAGGCAGCAGUGGGGAAUAUUGCACAAUGGGCGCAAGCCUGAUGCAGCCAUGCCGCGUGUAUGAAGAAGGCCUUCGGGUUGUAAAGUACUUUCAGCGAGGAGGAAGGCAUUAAGGUUAAUAACCUUAGUGAUUGACGUUACUCGCAGAAGAAGCACCGGCUAACUCCGUGCCAGCCGCAGC